ACGACACCCUUAAAGUUGUCAUACACCACAUUGUCGAAGCCAGGGGUAGUGGACUUCCUAGUGGAUGGACAGUAGGAAAACAUUUUCUGCAUGCUUCCAUGCAGCCACUUUCUCCUUGGAAGGGGUGUACCUCUUCCGCUGUUCACCAGUUUGGCACGUGGCAAGCCCCACAUGGCCUUGAGGACUUGUUAGGCAUGAAUGCCUUCACUGUUGGUGCAGGAGGGACAAAGCUCUGGCUGCAGGAUGGCCAGAGCUUUGUCCAGGACGGAGGACAGGGCGGAGGGGGCCUGUGCGGGGAGGACCAGCAGUAUGGGUGCUGCCGACACAGGGGGUGGGCCGUAGGUCAACGCAGCAGGUGGCCUCGGCUGGAGGUGGGUGGGCGCAGGAGGCCUCGGCAGAAUGGGGGUGGGCACAGCAGGCCUCGGCCGGGUGGAGGACGACAAACCAAGUGGGCUGAACGGGCCGGUUCGCGGGAGUCACAUCCUCUGGCUCAUCAACAAAUAAUCUGGAAACAUAAAAUACACGUGAUCAGUAUUGAUAUGAGGUGUGUGCUAUUUGCUUUCCACAGCCAACAGGUGAAACAAAGUGCUUAUGACAACUUACCUCCGCUUCUCAACACGUCUCUUUCCAGCCUCGUGAUGGAUGAGCCGGUACUGGACCUGAGGCCGGUCUGGCGGAGGGAGGGAUGUUGGCAGCGCAGGAGCCUCCGGGAACGGUGCGUCCGACAGCACUUUCAGGUAAGAAGGACGUCUCAGAGCUGAUCCAAAGAUACAGGAAGGACGGGCCCUGACCUCUGACCUCCCAUCUGGAGCCUCAUGUGACCCGGCCAGAGGACGGGCUCUGACCUCUGACCUCCCACCUGGAGCCCCGUGUGACCCGACCAGAGGACGGGCUCUGACCUCUGACCUCCCACCUGGAGCCCCAUGUGACCCGGCCAGAGGACUCCCCCAUUUAUUACAUUGGAGGCUUCUGUUAUGUGGAAGGAUGGUAUGAACGUGUGAAUGGGUUUACUAUGUUUUACUAUGUUUACUAUAUUUAUAUAUAUACUAUAUUUAUAUAACUAUUUAUUUAUUUAUUCAUUUUAUCUAUUUUGCACUUAUCUGCCAGCACUUAUCUUUACCCUAUGUGUUUUUAAUACUUCUUGCAUGCCCUUCCCAUGUUUUUAUAUAUAUACAGUAUACAUAUGUAUAUAUUGUGGCAGACGCCAGGGAGGAGUGAGGGGAGUGGUAGGUCUGGCAACCUGCUGGCUCCACCCCCAAGCCAUAUAUGGACUUUCUCACAUUAACGAGGCGAGCCUGGGGAUCGUUAAGCAGGGGUGCUUGGUGCUUAAAAGAGCUAGCAAACGACAGACCGGGGAGGUUGGAGUUGGAAGAGGAGCUAGGACUAUAAGAGGACAGGCAGGAUCUGUGUGAUCGCCUGGCAGUGUGGUACGCCCUGAGAGAGAGAGACAGGUGGAAGGUGUUGGACGGACAUUGAACUGGAGCAUAAAGGACGUGGAUGACCCUUUUCCCACCCUGGUUUUCAUUUACUCGGUAAAUAAACCGUUCUGCGUUUGAACUACUCUGUGUGUUGUGACAUUUUAUCUAUCCGACUUGGUAGCGUGGAAACCCCACACCCACUGGCCCGCUACAAUAUGUAUAUGUGUACAUUUUUACAUUAAAGGGGUUCCUGCAUUAUUCACCCAUGAAUUCUGAUUCAGAUUGCAGUGUGCUCCUCUUUAUUCAUAUAUUUUGUGUUUAUGCACAUAAUUCACUUUCUAUGAGAGGAUGUGUAUGGAUGGGCCCUGCCUGGAUUCCCCUGGGGGUCAGAAAAGGGAAUAGAACAGAAAGUCGACUUACCUUUGCUCCGCGCCUCCUCAGACCCAAGCUGCUGCUCCUACAAUACGAUACAAGACGGUAUUAAAUGAAACUGAUAACAGGGGAUCUGAAAAUAUAACUUCAGUUCUGAUGAACACUAUUACAAUAUUACUAUCACUGAUGAAUACUGUUAUAAUAUUACUAUCACUAAUGUAUACUGUUAUCACUAAUGAAUACUGUUAUAAUAUUACUAUUGUCAAGUUCUCUCCUUUUUUGUGCGUUCUCCACUUGAAGGAGAUUGGUGCAUCCACUCA
Long non-coding RNA from Gadus morhua (Atlantic cod), 2110 nucleotides. Lineage: Eukaryota; Metazoa; Chordata; Actinopteri; Gadiformes; Gadidae. The record is from Ensembl.